This 1216-nucleotide long non-coding RNA is filed under the name Equus caballus (horse). Its description in RNAcentral is "lncRNA (ENSECAG00000056309.1)". The record is from RNAcentral. Lineage: Eukaryota; Metazoa; Chordata; Mammalia; Perissodactyla; Equidae.
UCUGGCCCCGCCCAGCCCGCCAUGCCUUCUUGGGAGCAAGAGAGAAGAUGGGCCUCCAUUGCCACUGCAUCAUGGCCAAACCCUCAUCCCUAGCAGAACUCAGAGGACUUCAGCUCCAUGAGUAGGUGACAGCCUCCUGGAGACUCAGGCUCAGCUGAGGAUGGUGGUAUGCAGAAGACAGCGUCAUACUGUCGGAUAGAAGGGCCCGUUUGCAUUUAUUUGGAGCAAAAAAAAGGGGACGCCUGGCAGCCUGGUUCUCUGCAGUGCCGUUGAGCCACCAGUUUAUGUGGUUUUGUGACUGCAAAUGCUGCUUGAUAGGACAUGAUCCUGGUCUUGUCAUGAAUCAUCACCAGGCUGGUUAUUGGAAACCAGAUGCAGCAAGGAAAAUAGGAUUUAACCCCUUCUCUGCCUCCCAGCCUCCAAAAGAAUUUAAUCUGCUGGACAACAAACAAUACUGUUAUAAAACUUUGAAAACAAGAGGGCGAGGCCUCCCUGACAAGAAGAAGGGCAUGCCGGGUAACGGCCGAGAGAGCCUGCCAGGCUGAGAUGGAGCCGGGCGAGAGCCCAGUUGGCUGGGUACCUGAGUGCCUGCCCCUGCCCAGCCCGCCAUCCGCGCCAUCCCCAGUCCAGAUGGGAAGGAACCGAAAUGAAAGCGGGCAGAGAAGCGCUUGAAAAAGGGAAGUUCAUACGUGUUCCCCUCUCUCUGAUCUGAUGAGAAUGCACUAGACUGUGAAACUUCCUCCCCUCCCUCCCUCACACUCCCUCCCUCUUCUCUCCUCCUUCCUCCUCCUGCCUCCUCGCACCACUCACUGUUCCACGUCCUGAGACUGGCAGACAGAGGGCCUGAUAACAGAAUAAGACUGGAAUAGCAGUGUAGGUACAGCUACUAGCCGGGCCAGCUGCUGGGGAAGCAGGAGAGAAAGGUGCUCUAAGUUGGCUUUGGACUCUGGACCUACCCUCUGUCUACCCAGCCUCCCUCCCCCAACUAGGGAAGUGGAACCAUGUCACGAGGUGUGCCCCAGUCCAUGUGCUCUGCCAGGUGUGUGCCCAGGUACUGGGUAGAACCGCCACUUGGAGGUUUGUGGGUAUGCCCCAGGCUUACUGGUAGCCUGCUGGGGGCCAUGCUCUGGGGAGGAUGUCUGACUUGUGGAGAUGCUCUCCUCUCCCUCCAGGAGGAGUGAGGGCUGUGCUGCAGAGGCCGGGACCCACCUCUGGC